This is a long non-coding RNA of Mya arenaria, 253 nucleotides long. RefSeq lists it as uncharacterized. The transcript has 3 exons. The record is from RefSeq and is a predicted model, not a curated record. NCBI's taxonomy places the organism in Eukaryota, Metazoa, Mollusca, Bivalvia, Myida, Myidae.
GUUCAAACAACCAAGAGAUAUGUUAGUCCAAAGACAGAAUGAGGAGCGAACUUUUACCACUUAUUUGUGUAGAAGAGUAUGGUACCAGGGGUGCAGCUGACUCUGAUUCCCGGCUUGUUCUAAUGAAAAAAGGCAGAUGAGGCACUGGAAUCCGAAUGUAAUCAAAAAAUGCCAUUGUAUGAGGAUUGACCUGCAAUGCAUGGCAAUCAUCUUAACACAACUGCAACACCUUCCUUGGAAAAAUGAGUGCAAG